UACAGAGGUGGCAAGCGUUGUUCGGAAUUACUGGGCGUAAAGCGCGUGUAGGCGGCUCUUCAAGUCAGGCGUGAAAGCCCCGGGCUCAACUCGGGAACUGCGCUUGAUACUGUCGAGCUAGAGUGUGGAAGGGGCGAUUGGAAUUCCGUGUGUAGCGGUGAAAUGCGUAGAUAUACGGAGGAACACCAGAGGCGAAGGCGGAUCGCUGGGCCAACACUGACGCUGAGACGCGAAAGCCAGGGGAGCAAACGGG
Molecule: ribosomal RNA, 253 nt
Filed under: uncultured bacterium
Lineage: Bacteria
Description: partial 16S ribosomal RNA
Rfam family: Bacterial small subunit ribosomal RNA
Source: RNAcentral